CCCUUAGAUGUUCUGGGCCGCACGCGCGCUACACUGACGAAUGCAACGAGCUUAUAACCUUGGCCGAAAGGUCUGGGUAAUCUCCAAAUUUCGUCGUGAUGGGGAUAGAUUAUUGCAAUUAUUAAUCUUCAACGAGGAAUGCCUAGUAAGCGCAAGUCAUCAGCUUGCGUUGAUUACGUCCCUGCCCUUUGUACACACCGCCCGUCGCUCCUACCGAUUGAAUGGUCCGGUGAAGCGUUCGGACCGUGGCCUUUGGACGGUUCGCCGUCUGUUGGCUGCGGGAAGUUCGUUAAACCUUAUCAUUUAGAGGAAGGAGANGUCGUNACA
RNAcentral lists this ribosomal RNA (327 nucleotides) under uncultured eukaryote. RNAcentral's name for it is "partial 18S ribosomal RNA". It matches the Rfam family "Eukaryotic small subunit ribosomal RNA", at positions 1470 to 1796 of the family's 1831-position model. The record is from RNAcentral.